RNAcentral lists this non-coding RNA (44 nucleotides) under Streptomyces viridosporus. RNAcentral describes it as "Streptomyces ghanaensis Guanidine-II sequence". It matches the Rfam family "Guanidine-II riboswitch aptamer (mini-ykkC)". Rfam says of the family: Simpler in structure and has fewer highly conserved nucleotide positions than the ykkC-yxkD leader. Despite this each of its two stem-loop structures directly bind free guanidine. Lineage: Bacteria; Bacillati; Actinomycetota; Actinomycetes; Kitasatosporales; Streptomycetaceae. The record is from RNAcentral.
GCACGGGGACGACCUCGUGCUGCGGCACACCGAGGACGACCUUG